Long non-coding RNA from Zalophus californianus (California sea lion), 2182 nucleotides. RefSeq lists it as uncharacterized. The transcript has 4 exons. Lineage: Eukaryota; Metazoa; Chordata; Mammalia; Carnivora; Otariidae. The record is from RefSeq and is a predicted model, not a curated record.
ACUGCUUGUUCGGUGAUGUGAUCACCCUGACUCGUGUGUCUGGAUGGGAGAAUGAGAUUGGGACGUGGAAGUGUUCUUGGUGCUACAGAGUGCAAGCAGUGCUCGGCAUGUCCUCAACUAUGCCAGGUGCAAUUGUUAGAUUCCUUCCCUUUGAUUUCGUCACAGUUAUCUAGAGCCUAACGCUUUCAUAGCAAUGACUACGUUUCUGAAUAUAUACUUAAUUUAUUUAAUUACGGUGAUUUACUAAAUCAAUUUCCUAAGUAAAUCAAUUUAAUUAAAUAAAUUAAAAGUGUAUUUAGACGUACAGUUGUUGCUAUUAAAAGAGGUCUUGUAAUUUAGCAUCUUCUUCCAUUUUUAAUGGUCCUCAGAUUUUGAAUUUUUCCCAAAUGGGGCUUUUAUAGUUAAAUUUAAAAAACCUGACAGUUCAUUUUUUUAUUUUAUUUUUUUUUUGCUGGGGGUAAUCAUAUAAAGAGUACAUAGAAGGCUAAGUAUCUUGAGAAAUCUUAUACUUGCUAAUUUUGUGUAUGUCAGGUUUUAUACUUUAAACAUAUUUGUUGAAACAAUGCAUUACGUCGAAUUUUGGAAAUAAACAUUUACAUAUGAGGCUACUUUGGAUUUGAAAGCUAUGUCUUGUUAAGUAAUAUAUUUAUCUUGAAAAAGAAAGUCGAGAGUAGCAGAAGUUCAAAACCUUUUAGGGACUGAAAAGUGUUAAUUCUAUACUACCUAAAGGUGGAUAAAUAGCUCCUCUUCACUUUUGUAAUUCAUGGCUAUAAUUAUGUUUCUUCCAAAGUUUUAUAUGAAGUUUGUCAAAAUGUAAUUUUUUUUCAGAAAAAUACCAGUUCAGUGUUAGGUAGCCAAGAGGACAGAUGAAUAAAAAUCAACAACUGUGUACAUGAUAUAAAAGUAUGUGCAAAUAUGUAAGAUUCAUGCCAUUUUUCAUGAGAAAUGUAUUUUGUGUGUUUCUUGUACAGUCACUGAACUUUGUGUAACCUGAUGUAAAUGACAUAGCCUUAAUUUCUAGGAAAUGUUUAAUUAGCAGAUGGUUUACACUCACUGAUACUUGGCCAUCAUCAUUGUACAUAAUGACAAUUUGGAGAAGAAUUGUCGUAUAUAAUUUGAGAAAGAAUUAUAUUGGUGAAAAGUUCAAAACCAGAAUGAUGUGAUGUUUAAACAACUUAUUUAGGGAGUCGGAGGAGGCAGAGUCAACACUUUGUUUUCCCAUAUUCCCUAAGGUUUAUUCACUGUUUGCUCUUUAAACGGACAUCUUAUUUUAGUAAGGACUUUUUUUUCCUUUGAAGAGAGAAGGUUGAAGUUUAAGGGUUCAUGUCUUUUGUUCCCUUGUUUUUCUCUCCAUCCCAACAACCCACCAGUCAUGCAUUACUCCCCUCAUCUUUCUUCCUGUUCAUUCUUUUUUUAAAUUAAGAAAACUUUUUUUUGCUUUUCAAAGUGAGAGUUAGAGAAUUAUUCCACCACAGUUACAUAGAGUAACAUUUCUUUCUUUGGAUUAUUUUUGGAGAACUUAAAAAGAAACAAAAAUAAUACUGCACAAAAAAAGUUAUAUCAUAAAUCAUAAACUAUCACAGAAAUUUAUUUCAAAAAGAACUAAACAUUUCUACUUAAGACAUCCACGGGACAGCUAACAUAAGGAUUGCAGUCAGUUCAAAGGUAAGCCCUUUAAUUUAUAUUCAAAUUAAGUCAAUAUUCAUAUUUAAUAAGAAGAACUGAUCAUUUCACCAACCUUUAUCAUUAGCAGGAAUAUACAUUUUAUUCAGUACCAGAAGCUGUUUGCAGAUCCAUUCUUAAUUAUGCAAAAAACCCUUAUAACACAGGUAAUGGAGAAAUAUAUGGAGGGGAAGGGAAAAAAAAACCCCAGAUGACAAAAUCCUGUAUUUUCUAGACCGGCUGAAAUAAUUUUAUUAUACCUUUUGGGACAUACCUACAGUGAGCACAUACUGAAUGUUAAAGAAGAACUGGCAAUCUUACAUAUAUAUUUGUGGAGUCCCCAGAUGCGACUGUCAUUAAUAAUUAAGGCACAUCAUUAUAAUUUCAGUGGAUUUUGCAGACCCGUCAAGCCUGGUUCAGGCACAGAUGAGACUGAUGCCCAAUCUAAGGUGGGCAGUGAGACCUUGUCAGAAUAUGAUGAAGAGGGGACAAAGGUUCAAGUGUGAAAUGCAGACUUGAU